UAGGAACCUGCCCACUAGAGGGGGAUAACCAAGGGAAACUUUGGCUAAUACCGCAUACACUCUAAGGAGUAAAGUUGCCGCAAGGUGACGCUAGAGGAGGGGCCUGCGUCCGAUUAGCUAGUUGGAGAGGUAAGAGCUCGCCAAGGCGAAGAUCGGUAACUGGUCUGAGAGGACGACCAGUCACACUGGGACUGAGACACGGCCCAGACUCCGUACGGGAGGCAG
This 225-nucleotide ribosomal RNA is filed under the name uncultured bacterium. RNAcentral's name for it is "partial 16S ribosomal RNA". It matches the Rfam family "Bacterial small subunit ribosomal RNA", at positions 118 to 351 of the family's 1533-position model. The record is from RNAcentral.